GACAGCAGUAGCCACGGGAAUACAGAGGGUGCAAGCGUUAAUCGGAAUUACUGGGCGUAAAGCGCGCGUAGGUGGUUUGUUAAGUUGGAUGUGAAAUCCCCGGGCUCAACCUGGGAACUGCAUCCAAAACUGGCAAGCUAGAGUAUGGUAGAGGGUGGUGGAAUUUCCUGUGUAGCGGUGAAAUGCGUAGAUAUAGGAAGGAACACCAGUGGCGAAGGCGACCACCUGGACUGAUACUGACACUGAGGUGCGAAAGCGUGGGGAGCAAACAGGAUUAGAUACCCCUGUAGUCCCUGUCUCUUAUAC
This 306-nucleotide ribosomal RNA is filed under the name uncultured bacterium. RNAcentral's name for it is "partial 16S ribosomal RNA". It matches the Rfam family "Bacterial small subunit ribosomal RNA", at positions 505 to 807 of the family's 1533-position model. The record is from RNAcentral.